This 253-nucleotide ribosomal RNA is filed under the name uncultured bacterium. Its description in RNAcentral is "partial 16S ribosomal RNA". It matches the Rfam family "Bacterial small subunit ribosomal RNA", at positions 524 to 776 of the family's 1533-position model. The record is from RNAcentral.
UACAGAGGUCUCAAGCGUUGUUCGGAUUCAUUGGGCGUAAAGGGUGUGUAGGCGGCGCCGUAAGUCAGGUGUGAAAUCUCGGGGCUUAACUCCGAAACUGCAUUUGAUACUGCGGUGCUUGAGGACUGGAGAGGAGACUGGAAUUCAUGGUGUAGCAGUGAAAUGCGUAGAGAUCAUGAGGAAGACCAGUGGCGAAGGCGGGUCUCUGGACAGUUCCUGACGCUGAGACGCGAAGGCCAGGGGAGCAAACGGG